GGCGCCGAGCCGGCUGCCGCUGCCAAGCUUCCGGCUCCGGAGGGCAGGGGGCGGGUCUGGAGGGCGCUUCCGGCCGACGGCCGUCGGGAUGCGCCUCGCUGUCGUCGAGGAGGUACCGACAGCUGGCGGUGGGUCCUGCGUCCCGGCGGAAAGCUCCGAGGAGCCCUGUAGUAGACUUGUGGCUCGGGUGGAGCCGGCGGAAAACCCGGAGAAGCUGGAGACAGCCGUGGCUGAGGUGGAGCCGGCGUCGCUGCCCUGGAGCGUGGGCGAGUUUCCUCUUAGCCAGAGCUUCAGGGAUUGACUCGAAGACUCCUCCGCUUUUUUAGUUGUUUUGGGUGUGAAUAAAGCCCAGACUAAACCUUAGCCUCCCAGGCUGCCAAAACAGGACAGCUGUGAUACUGUGUUUUUCAAAGUAUAGUGCCUGAACCAUCAGCAUGAAAUCUGCCUGAGACGGUUGUUGAAAAUUCACAUCGCUGGGCCUUGCCGCAGGGUGCCUCUUGAAGCUCAAGUGGAAGCCAACAGAAGAGGGGUCCAUGUGUACAGAUAGGGCUGGAGUGAUCCAUGUUCCAACAGCAGGCCAUUUAACCUCACUUGAAUAUGGAGGCUGCAUAGGUCACAAGUCUGAAGACUACAAGCUACCUUUGCUUAAAAGGAACCACACCAUCACUGAUAGCUAACUGCUAGACUGUUCUCCAGCAUAUCAGGGCUACACUGAAUUGCUUGAGUUGCGCUUCAAUUAAUGUAGAGAACUUCACCGAACCACACAUAACCAUUGAAGUAACCUGCUGUUUACAGUCUAUCAUGCUCUGCCAAGGGAGUUAUUUUAUAGUGACAAAACUUCUCUUCUGGUGCCCUGACACAUCCUAGGACUUUGAUGUUGGUAAUUCUUUCCCCCCAGCAAAUGUUGGUUCUAAAUCCACAGAACUACUUGAGAAACCAGAUGCAAAAUUAUGCUCUCCCAGGAGGUAUGCAGAACAAUAUUUAUCUCAUAUUGCGGAUGUGGCAAUCAAGACAGAGAGGCUAAAUGCUUUACCUAAAGUCGUCCAACAAAUAUUUGGUAGAACCAGGGCUAGAAUGCAAUAAAUGGAAAUAGAGUUAUUUCGGUGUUUCUUUUCCUGAUACUUGCCUUAUUCAUGACAAAUGUAUAAUGGCUUCAGAAGGUGUCACUUGUUGCUAGGGAUAAACUUUACCUGUAAUACUGUAGCACUUACUAUUAGUUAACGACCCACUAUUUAUUCUCUUUUUGUCUUUGGAAUCUUUGGAAUGUGUAAGUAUUUGCCUCCCAGGAAGCUCUCUUUAUCCUCUCCUCAGGAGAAAAUCCUGAUUUGGUCUAAACCAAUCUUGGUAACUAUCUUUCUUGCCAGUUUUGUUUUAGGAAUGGGCGUGCAACUCAGUUCUAGCCAAUGAGAUAUGAGGAGCAGUCUACUGGGGAGUUUCUGGGAAAGUUUGUUUUUCUUGUCCUAAGAAAUAAACAAAUAAUGGGGUAAUAAAGCUUCAACACUUUGUGAGAUCACUGGAUUGGAGAUCCUGUUGAGUCAAAGGAAUAUUGAAUUUGACACAGUAAAAUAGCCUGUAAGGAAAGGAAAUGAUAUUCAGUAAAUGAAAUGCUGAAAAUUGAUAUUUUGAAGGUGGUGCAGUAGUUGUUACUGAUUAAAUGAAACAGUUGAGAUUAAGAAAGUUUAGCCAGGACAAGUUAUAUAGCACAAAUCAUUUGAGAUAAGGAGGUUAAAAAAAACCCUGAGAGGCCGGGAAGUCCUGGUUCCAAACUUCUGCUCUUGCUGGACUUGAGCCCCACUAGCUUCUUGUCUUCCACUAAUCUAUGCACCCCUCCUUUCCCACUGCUAAAAAGCCAAGCUCACUCAACAACUUUAAUUUUAUUCAAAUAAAUUAUUUUAUACA
Macaca mulatta (Rhesus monkey) is the source of this 1899-nucleotide long non-coding RNA. RefSeq lists it as uncharacterized. Lineage: Eukaryota; Metazoa; Chordata; Mammalia; Primates; Cercopithecidae. The record is from RefSeq and is a predicted model, not a curated record.